This 441-nucleotide ribosomal RNA is filed under the name uncultured bacterium. RNAcentral's name for it is "partial 16S ribosomal RNA". It matches the Rfam family "Bacterial small subunit ribosomal RNA", at positions 338 to 795 of the family's 1533-position model. The record is from RNAcentral.
CCUACGGGAGGCAGCAGUGGGGAAUAUUGCGCAAUGGGGGCAACCCUGACGCAGCCACGCCGCGUGAUUGAAGAAGGCCUUCUGGUUUUACAGAUCUUUAUAUGGAGACGUAUUUUGACGGUACCCGAAGAAUAAGCUCCGGCUAACUACGUGCCAGCAGCCGCGGUAAUACGUAGGGAGCAAGCGUUAUCCGGGUGUACUGGGUGUAAAGGGCUUGUAGGCGGGCAUGCAAGCCAGAAGUGAAAUCUGGGGGCUUAACCCUCAAACUGCAUUUGGAACUGCGUGUCUUGAGUGAUGGAGAGGCAGGCGGAAUUCCUAGUGUAGCGGUGAAAUGCGUAGAUAUUGGGAGGAACCCCAGUGGCGAAGGCGGCCUGCUGGACAUUAACUGACGCUGAGGCGCGAAAGCGUGGGGAGCAAACAGGAUUAGAUACCCCAGUAGUC